This 318-nucleotide ribosomal RNA is filed under the name Triticum aestivum (bread wheat). Its description in RNAcentral is "partial small subunit ribosomal RNA". Lineage: Eukaryota; Viridiplantae; Streptophyta; Magnoliopsida; Poales; Poaceae. The record is from RNAcentral.
AUGCGAUCAAGGACUCAAGGCCAUCCUGCACGUGGCGGCGGCAGAGCCGACGCCGUCGCCGGCCUGGUUGGUGUUGGGGCUGCACUUGUUGGCGCAGAAUGGGAUGCAGAGCCAGCGCGGCACGCCGGGGCUCCUGCACCCAGGGUAGCAGUCGUUGAAGCACUUGCAGAAGUCGGACAUGGCGGCCACCUGCUGCCGCUGCCCGGACGGCAGCACGAGGAGGAACAUGAUGCACAGGGCGGCAAUGGCUGCCGCUCUCUUCUUCACCUCCAUCUCUUUCUUGGGGACCAACGUACGAUGCUUCUUAAGGAUCAAUAG